This 882-nucleotide ribosomal RNA is filed under the name uncultured bacterium. RNAcentral describes it as "bacterial SSU rRNA". It matches the Rfam family "Bacterial small subunit ribosomal RNA", at positions 1 to 884 of the family's 1533-position model. The record is from RNAcentral.
GCUUAGAGUUUGAUCCUGGCUCAGAUUGAACGCUGGCGGCAUGCUUUACACAUGCAAGUCGAACGGUAACAGGUCUUCGGAUGCUGACGAGUGGCGAACGGGUGAGUAAUACAUCGGAACGUGCCUAGUAGUGGGGGAUAACUACUCGAAAGAGUAGCUAAUACCGCAUGAGAUCUACGGAUGAAAGCAGGGGACCUUCGGGCCUUGUGCUACUAGAGCGGCUGAUGGCAGAUUAGGUAGUUGGUGGGGUAAAGGCUUACCAAGCCUGCGAUCUGUAGCUGGUCUGAGAGGACGACCAGCCACACUGGGACUGAGACACGGCCCAGACUCCUACGGGAGGCAGCAGUGGGGAAUUUUGGACAAUGGGCGAAAGCCUGAUCCAGCAAUGCCGCGUGCAGGAUGAAGGCCCUCGGGUUGUAAACUGCUUUUGUACGGAACGAAAAGCCUGGGGCUAAUAUCCCCGGGUCAUGACGGUACCGUAAGAAUAAGCACCGGCUAACUACGUGCCAGCAGCCGCGGUAAUACGUAGGGUGCAAGCGUUAAUCGGAAUUACUGGGCGUAAAGCGUGCGCAGGCGGUUUUGUAAGACAGUGGUGAAAUCCCCGGGCUCAACCUGGGAACUGCCAUUGUGACUGCAAGGCUAGAGUGCGGCAGAGGGGGAUGGAAUUCCGCGUGUAGCAGUGAAAUGCGUAGAUAUGCGGAGGAACACCGAUGGCGAAGGCAAUCCCCUGGGCCUGCACUGACGCUCAUGCACGAAAGCGUGGGGAGCAAACAGGAUUAGAUACCCUGGUAGUCCACGCCCUAAACGAUGUCAACUGGUUGUUGGGUCUUAACUGACUCAGUAACGAAGCUAACGCGUGAAGUUGACCGCCUGGGGAGUACG